UACGUAGGGGGCAAGCGUUGUCCGGAAUCAUUGGGCGUAAAGAGCUCGUAGGCGGUCUGUUGCGUCCGCUGUGAAAAUCCGGGGCUCAACCCCGGACCUGCAUCCGAUACUGCGUGACUAGAGGUAGGUAGGGGAGAUCGGAAUUCCUGGUGUAGCGGUGAAAUGCGCAGAUAUCAGGAGGAACACCGGUGGCGAAGGCGGAUCUCUGGGCCUUACCUGACGCUCAGGCGCGAAAGCUAGGGGAGCGAACAGG
This 253-nucleotide ribosomal RNA is filed under the name uncultured bacterium. RNAcentral describes it as "partial 16S ribosomal RNA". It matches the Rfam family "Bacterial small subunit ribosomal RNA", at positions 524 to 776 of the family's 1533-position model. The record is from RNAcentral.